RNAcentral lists this long non-coding RNA (376 nucleotides) under Helianthus annuus (common sunflower). Its description in RNAcentral is "sRNA HanXRQr2_Chr07g0292391". Lineage: Eukaryota; Viridiplantae; Streptophyta; Magnoliopsida; Asterales; Asteraceae. The record is from RNAcentral.
CUCUUAGAGAGAUAAAUAAGAGAGAGGGAGAACUAGAGAAAGAGGGGUGGCCGGUGGCGACGUUUGGCGGCGAUUUGCGAUGGCUAGUGGUGGCCGGAGGUGGUCGGACUUGUGAGAUUCAACCUGGAACCAAUUAUCGAUGCUACGAACGCAAUGGUUACACGGAUCGUUACCAUUUAUCAUAAAGGACAAGGGGGCAAAGAUCGAGUCAUAGAACAUGGAUUGUAUGGAAUGGUGGUCACUUAGUUUGCAUUCGCAUGUUAUAGUUGGUACAUUAAUUAAAGAUGAAUGAUGUAAUUCUUUUAAAGGAAUCGUUUUAAAUGGUUUUCAAGUAUGUUAGAAUAUUUAAAAAGAAAGAAAUUUUGAGGUUUGUAUU